AAGGUAGCAUAAUCACUUGUCUUUUAAUUGGAGGCUAGAAUGAAGGAGGCGACGAAAUUUGGGCUAUUGGGUUAUAUUAUAAAAUUAACAUAAAGGUUAAAAGGCUUUUAUUAAUCAAAGGGACGAGAAGACCCUAUAAAACUUUACUAUAAAUUAAAUUAUUUAGAUAAGAUCUUUACUAAUAUAGUUUGACUGGGGCGGUGUAUAUAAAAACAAUUGAAGCAGAAAUAUACUGAAUAAUAAUUGAGAACUCUAAAGGAAAUAAACAAGUUACUUUAGGGAUAACAGCAUAAUUCUCCCAGAGAGUCCUAAUUGGCGGGAGAGCUUAUGACCUCGAUGUUGAAUUGGGGUGUCUAGUAUAAGUAGAAAUAUAUUAAGAUAGUCUGUUCGACUAUUAAAUUCCC
Molecule: ribosomal RNA, 404 nt
Filed under: Proasellus vandeli
Lineage: Eukaryota; Metazoa; Arthropoda; Malacostraca; Isopoda; Asellidae
Description: partial 16S ribosomal RNA
Rfam family: Bacterial large subunit ribosomal RNA
Source: RNAcentral